RNAcentral lists this long non-coding RNA (91 nucleotides) under Callithrix jacchus (white-tufted-ear marmoset). RNAcentral's name for it is "lncRNA (ENSCJAG00000084470.1)". The record is from RNAcentral. Lineage: Eukaryota; Metazoa; Chordata; Mammalia; Primates; Cebidae.
AGGGGAGAAACUGGGCAAGAGGCGAGUCCAUAAAGUCCAGGGAUUAAGUGGAAACGCCGAUAAAAUUUUGGGCUCCUGUCUUCUGUCUCCU